UGUUUGGACUAAAUUUAAAAU
This 21-nucleotide non-coding RNA is filed under the name Caenorhabditis elegans. The record is from RNAcentral. Lineage: Eukaryota; Metazoa; Nematoda; Chromadorea; Rhabditida; Rhabditidae.